CUAACUUUUGCAAAAGAUCUUGUUAAAAAGAUGAAAAAACAAAGGACGAAUGGAGAGGAAACCCUUGCAAGCAGUAUAUCUGGCCAACAUCCUGUAUCUGCAAUAGAUAGAGAACUCUCAAAACCCAAUAUGAAAACAAGAGCCAAUUAGUAAGUGGGAAAGGACAUUUCAUUAGAGAGGAGACACAGCAGGCACAUAAACACAUUAACAAGUGUUCAACAUCGUUAGUCAUUAGGGAGAUUAAUUAAAAACAUAAUAAGAUAUCACUGUGCACCUAUUAAACAACUAAAAUUUUUUGGUUACGCACGUUGUGUGCAUGGGAGCUCACAUGCCUAUGAGCCCAUGUGUACUUGCAGGUACAUGUGUGAACAUGCAUGCAUGUGUGUGUGAAGGCCAGAGGUGGACAGUUGUGUCUUCCUUGAUCAAGCUCUUCCUUGUGUACUGAAGCAAGCUCUCUUGCCCAACCAGGAACUGAUUGACCUGUUAGCAGCUCACCCUGGGGUCCACUAUGGCCACCACCUGGGCACUAGAAUUACAAGAAAGUUGCAUGCACGCCCACUUGGCAUUUUCAUAGGUAUUGGGGAAAUCUAAACUCAAUUACUGCACAACAGACACCUUUGUCCACUAAGCCACCUCCCAGUCCUCUACAAUAUUUUAAAAUGUAAUAAUAACACUAAAUUCUUGGAAAUACCCAAAGAAACUAGAUCUCUUUGGGAAUAUAAUAUUACAUUCUCUGGAAAGAUUUGGCUGUUGCUUAUAAAACUAAACCUGUACUUACCACACAACCUGACAUCUGCCCUCUUGACCCACAGAAGACAUAAACCGGUACUCACCAACAUUUUACUUGUGAUAGCCCAAACCUGAAGACAACCCGCAUGUCUUUGACAUGAGACUGGGUAAAACAAUCGAGCAUCCACACCUUAGACUGCUGUAGAAAUGAAGAGGAGUAAAGAAAGCAUGGUGCAGACGACUGCCACUCUUAAGACAAUAAACAUCGCACAAUUCUACUUAAACAUAGUUACUAUCACAAAACUACUGAGACAGGUGCACACACGCACACACACAAACAUGAGCACAUGCAUACACACCCAAAAGAGAAAAAAUGUUAAAGGGACAGACCCCAAAGACAAACUUUCUCACACUGACUCCCCCUUCUUCCUCCUUGUCCUUGUCUUCCUCCUCUUCCUUCUCCUCCUUGUCCUUCCUUCCUUCCUGAAACUCCCUCCCGCUUUCUGGGACUUCACAUUGUUCAAAAUUCUGACUUUUCUCCUGGGCACCUGGCAGAUGGCGUCCUCUGACCCAUUAGACGUUAGGACCAUAAAAUUUGCUAUGGCCAAGGAAAUGAGAACACAUAUGACAGUAAUCACUUCUAUAAGAAAGUUUGAAGCCAGAGUAUGAUUCUAAGUGACUUGAACAACACAGGCUGUGACAACCAGCAUCAAGAUGAGGUGCGAGUGGAGAAUAAACCGUGGUUAUGUUGCCCUGGAGAUCUGGGAGCUCUCCUGGCAGAUCCAGUCCACUUGACCUGAAAAUAAAGAGAAAAUGAUCUGAACUUUUUGAAAGUCAAUUUGAUGCAGGGCUGGUUCUUUCCUUUGAUACAGGAAUUCACCUUGUUGAAGUGGCUAUCCCAGUUAACUCAGGAAAUGCCAUCCAAAACUUCAAGCACCCAGAUGCUGAAGAAGAGAUUGUUACAAUAAGGGGGUCCAGCAAGCGAGAACAAUGACCCAGCCUUGGAAAUGGCAUGGUGUAGUUGUUCAAAGGAAGGUGUACCUACAAGAUGAUGCCGUGCAAUCAUUCAAUGCCAUUAGUCAUUGUAUUGGCUGAUUUUGUGUAAACUUGACACAAUCUGGAAUUAUCACAGAAAAAGGAGCUUCAGUUAAGGAAAUGUCUCUGUGAGAUCCAACUGUAAGGCAUUUUCUCAAUUAGUGAUCAAGCAGGGAGAGCCCAGGCCACUGUGAGUGGUGCCAUCUCUGGGCUGGUAGUCUUGGGUUCUAUAAGAAAGCAAGCUGAGCAAACCAGGGUAAGCAAGCCAGUAAGAAACAUCCCUCCAUGGCCUCUGCAUCAGCUCCUGCUUCCUGACCUGCUUGAGUUCCAGUCCUGACUUCCUUUGGUGAUGAACAGCAGUAUGGAAGUAUAAGCUGAAUAAACCCUUUCCUCCCCAACUUGCUUCUUGGUCAUGAUGUUUGUGCAGGAAUAGAAACCCUGACUAAGACAGCCAUUAUACUGGAACAUGCUUAUGUUUUGAUGUUAAAUGAAAACAAAAAUCACUUGUGUGUAUAGAGGAAGCAUCGAAGCAUAUGCAGCAUAUGUGUGCACAGCAGUCCCAGACCCAAAGAAAUGAAACAAACAAGAGACUGGACAUGAUGUUUGCAUUACACGUAACCCCCAGAAUUUAAUGUUCCAGAUAUGUAAAGAACCCCUAUACCCCAAAUAAAUGUGGGCAAAGAGGUAGAGAAAAUGAACAUCCAUAGCAAUGUGAACAAAUACAACCAUGAUCCCCCACCCAAAAAAAAAAUGUAUGGAAGUUCCUCGGAUGCUAGAAACAGAAUAGCCACAAGAUCGCAUUCCCUAUUGCUGGCUUUUUAGUCACGUGACCAGAAGUUGGCAUGAGAAAGUGACGUCUGCACUGCAGUGUUGACUGCAGAACUAGUUGCAAUUGUCAAGGUAUGUGCAUACGCUUCAGCCAAGCUAGGUGUCCAUCUAGGUGGCUACAGAGCUACAGUUCGAUGGGAACAUCUUCCAAUGCUCUAUAGCACAGCGAAAGUUAUGGAUUACGGUAAUUAACUGAAUAUUGCGAGGUAGCUGGAAGAAAAGGUCUCUGAUGGUUGUAACACAAAGAAAUGAUCUCUGUCUGAGGUGGCAAUCUGCCAUUUAGCCUGAUCCAUCAUUCGUGCUGCAUACACGAGUGCGUAUGUCAUGCAAAUAUGUAAUUGUUAUGUGUGAGAAAAACCAAAAGUGUUUUAAUGGCCAAAAGCUAUCGGUAGUGAAUUGCAGAAAAUUGAAACGAACUGUGAAGUUGGUACAGUGGUGGUUGAUGGUUUUUCCCGUGCUUGGGAGGCUGAAGCAGGAGGAUCUCGUAGAGUUCUAGGUCAGCCUGAACUACACAGCGAGGUCUUGGCUCAAAAUAAAAACAAAGCAAAACAAACAAAAGUCACAAGACAGGGGUGGCUUGAAGAGGCCACACCCAAUGACAGCAAUAUUUUGAUGUAUAGUAAGCCACGUGAUUAUGAUGUAACUACAGUUUCUAAAAGCAGAGAUGGGCUAGCCCCAGAGCAAGAUGGCUAAGGAGACUUACCUUAUACCAGGUCUGGGUCUGACUGAGAAGCCUCUGUAUCAGCGACUGAGGGAAAAGAGAGACAGAUGACAAUUCCUGACAUCAACCUUUGCCCUUCAUACAUGUACAGCCAUGUCUCUCUCUCUCUCUUUCUCUUUCUCUUUCUCUCUCUCUCUCUCUCUCUCUCUCUCUCUCUCUCUCUCACACACACACACACACACACACACGAUAAUGGAAAAGAUUAUAGGCAUAAUGUUUUUGUGCACUGUGUAAAGAUUGUCAUUCUGUUAUUCAUGCUGAUUUCUCUGUCCCCGUAUCUUGUUUCAACCCCGAGGCAUUGUAAUGCUUACAUCAAGAAUCUCCUGUCUCAAGUUUGUGUAAACAAUUCUUACCAUUUAUUCUCUGCUUGUCAAUAAAUGCUGAACAUCCAAUGGCUGGGCAGAAGAGAGAAUAAGGCGGGACUUCCACCAGCCAGAGGAAGGAGAAAGAUUGAAGUUUGAGCCACAGAGGAAGGUGUCUGGAAAGGGAUCAUGGAAACCCACCUGAAGCCCAAAAAGCGAGAUGAAUAAUAAAAUUCAAAUCCAAGUAUCAUGAGGGAAGUUGGUCGAGAGGUAGCCAAUUAGCUUAGGGAAAUUAUUAUAAGUAGUUUGACUGUCCAGAUACCGAGGUGAAGGCUUAAAACAAAACUUUUGUCUUUCUUUGUUAUUAUUUGGAACUAGCUAGGAUAAAGACAUACAACCACUGUAUUAAUUUACUACUUAAAUGUAUAUUAAAAGUUAUAUUUACAAAAAAUAAUAAAUUAAGAAUAUAAUAAAGCAAGGCAGAUCUCAGAUGAGUAAAACAGAAUGCUACUACUGUAUUCCAUUGCGGUAAAGGGAAUCAUGGGAGUGUGAGCAUCGCCACGGGAGGCUGGCAAUGGUGGUCUCUUGUUAGAACUGUGAGCGACAUUUUCUUCCUUGUACUUUUCUGAGAUUUCCAAGGAUUCUCUGUAAACAUGUUAUGUUUUAUAACUGGGAAAAACAUGCAUUAAUCUUCCCCUCUCUUAUUCAGUUUCAAUAAAAAGAUACUACUUUGGUUUGUUCAUAUUUUGUGUAGCAAAUGUAGUACAGAAUUGCAGGGAGUGGGACGAGCUUUCUCCCUUCCAGAUUUAAAUAGAGAAAAGAAUUUAGCAAGAUUGCCAUUCACAUUGUCCUACCUUUCAGCAUGGCAAAGCCCUUUGUCCCAGGGCUGGAAAUCUAAUGAUGGACUGUGGUUCAUUUUUAUCAUUACAACUGUAAUCUCCUCCUCGGUUGUCUGGAAAUUAAGUCCUGAAACCCUGGCCUGCACCCGCACUUCUGAGAGGAAUCUUGUCACCAUAUCCAGAUAGAAUAGAAUACUGGCUGAAGGCAGAAACGUUCCCAUGUGACUCUAAGCUUGCUCAACCACUCGCUGGUUAGUAUAACUCUGAGCAGAUCAGUCUACCUUGGUAAGUUUAAGCUUUCAUGUGUGAAGAGAGGUUGUGGUAGGUUUUUUUGUUUGUAAAACAAAGAAACCAAAAUCAAACAUACUUAUUCACACACACACUUUCUCUCAUAUACAUACAUUCACACACACAGGCACACUCAUAUACACACUCACAUACAUGUACACUGUCACAUACUGUCUCACACAUUCUCUCUCUCUCACAUACAUACAUACAUACAUACAUACAUACAUACAUACAUACACAUACACACACACACACACACACACACACACACACACACACACACACCUCAAGCUAUAGUAGCACUCAGAACUUGAGGGUCAGAAGUAGAACACUAAUAAGCUCAUUUCAGACCCUGCUUAGAUGGUCUCAGCCCUGAGCCUGGGAACCAUAUCUCCUUGCCUAGGUUAUAUGUUUCCACAGUUUCUGUCAGGGUCUCUGCAGAAAGUGUUAUGACAUUGCAAGCCCAGAAACAAAACAAAACAAAUCCAGAAUUAUCUCCUGCAGGGCACCGAAAUGUCAGCUUUUACCCCACACGGGCUUCUUUUAAAAAUAAGAUAUUACAAAAUUUUUAUGAUUAUGUUAUGUGUAUGGGCAUUUUCCUUAUAUGUAUGCCUGUGCACCACAUGUGUGCAUAGUGCCUGCUAAGUCAGAAGAGGAUGUCAGAUCACCUGGAACUGGUUACAGAUGGUUGUAAGUCACCAUGAGGUUGCUGAGAAUCAAACCUGGGUCCUCCAAAGGAGCAGCAAGUGCUUUUUAAUCAUGGAACCAUCUCUCCGGCACCUUAAAAAAUUAUUCAUGUGUAUGUGUCUGUGUCUAUGUGAAUGUAUGAUGUAUGUGAGUGUGGUACCCAUGGAGCCCAGAAAUAACUGGACCCCUAGAGGUGGAGUUGCAAGCAGUUGUGAGCUGUUUGCCGUGGGUGCUGGGAGCUGAACUCGGGUCUUCUGUAAGAGCACAAAGUGCUCUUAACUACAGAACCAUCUCUCCAGCCACAUCCCACAGAGCUUGUUUGCUUGUUUUUGUUCUUAAUGAUUUAUUUUCAUUAUUUAAAAGUAAGUGUGUGUGUGUGUGUGUGUGUGUGUGUGUGUGUGUGUAUACACAUGAACACAUGAGGGCAGGUAGGCAUUGGAUCUCGCAAUGCUGGAGUUACAGGUAAUUGUGAGCUGCCUGAUAUGGAUACUCGGAAUCAAACUCAGGGCCUCUGGAAGAACAGCACACUGCUCCUAACCACUGAGCCAUCUUCCCAGUGUUCCCAGAUAGUAUUUAUGAGGUGAAAUUGCAGUGUGAAGAAGGCAGUUGGCUUAGUCAGUGGCAGGCCCUCUACAUUAGCUAGCAGGUUGCCCAGGCAACAUCAGGAGAGUCAGUGCAACUCUCAAAGCCUCAAUAGCACCCAUUCUAAGCAGGUGACAUGUCACACAUUCAGUAAAUUCCUUAGAGAGGGAUAACGUCAUACACACCACCCUCAAAGACUGUGAUUGCUGGCUUGAGAAGGAUUCUGAGGCUGUGUGCCCAUCAGAAAGUAGUGCCAUGCCCAGUACAGAAUACCUACAGGCCCUCAGGCUUCACACUUACAGUAUCUGUUUUACACUAAUAUCCAAACACUAAGGUAUGCGGUGGUCCAGUGGUCCAGCUCAGUGGAUUAGGGUGCUAACUGUGGGAGCAUGAUUAUCUCUGGGACCCACAUAAAGAUGGAGGUAGAGAACUGAUUCUCCAAAGUUGUCCUCUGACCUCUACAUUCCUGUGACAGCACCCAGCGAGCAUCCUCCAUACGAUGUUUUAAAAAUGUCCUUGAGCCCUUUGCUUAACUUUGAGUUGGUAAAUAAUUAAAAUACAGGAUGACACACAGAUUUCCCAUACACAUUAAGAAGGGCAAUGUCACAUGGGGUUUGAGAAAGGAUAGGGGCAGCCAUGUGUCCUGUGGGCUCUCAUAGUCUCAGUGCCUACUCUACAGGGGAAGCUCAAUCAACAUUUUUUUCCACACCAAACUGGAAACAGUCACAAAGAAAAAUUUCCCACGGAAGGCAGAGCACAUUGGUGAAAUUAAGCCGUGUGGGACUUGGGUUCUGUUAAUGUUCUGCUCAUGGGUUUUAUGUGUUUUUGUAUAUAAUUCGUGGCAUUUAUAUUAAAUCCGUAAAUAAAAUAUUGCUCCGUUCGUGGGAACUCAAUAAAGCAUUUG
This 6915-nucleotide long non-coding RNA is filed under the name Mus musculus (house mouse). Its description in RNAcentral is "long non-coding RNA chr5:67125789-67132704". The record is from RNAcentral. Lineage: Eukaryota; Metazoa; Chordata; Mammalia; Rodentia; Muridae.